Molecule: unclassified non-coding RNA, 244 nt
Filed under: plant metagenome
Description: partial contains small subunit ribosomal RNA, internal transcribed spacer 1, and 5.8S ribosomal RNA
Source: RNAcentral
UCUCCGUUGGUGAACCAGCGGAGGGAUCAUUACCGAGUUUACAACUCCCAAACCCAAUGUGAACCAUACCAAACUGUUGCCUCGGCGGGGUCACGCCCCGGGUGCGUCGCAGCCCCGGAACCAGGCGCCCGCCGGAGGGACCAACCAAACUCUUUCUGUAGUCCCCACGCGGACGUUAUUAUUACAGCUCUGAGCAAAAAUUCAAAAUGAAUCAAAACUUUCAACAACGGAUCUCUUGGUUCUG